GGAAGGUGCAAGCGUUAAUCGGAAUCACUGGGCGUAAAGCGCGCGUAGGCGGUUAGAUAAGUCGGGUGUGAAAGCCCCGGGCUCAACCUGGGAACUGCAUUCGAUACUGUCUGACUAGAGUGUGAUAGAGGGAGGCGGAAUUCCGCAUGUAGCGGUGAAAUGCGUAGAGAUGCGGAGGAACACCAAUGGCGAAGGCAGCCUCCUGGAUCAACACUGACGCUGAGGUGCGAAAGCGUGGGGGGAGCAAACAGGAUUAGAUACCCUGGUAGUCCACGCUGUAAACGAUGUCAACUAGCCGUUGGGAGCAAUUUGGCUCUUGGUGGCGCAGCUAACGCGAUAAGUUGACCGCCUGGGGAGUACGGUCGCAAGAUUAA
RNAcentral lists this ribosomal RNA (374 nucleotides) under uncultured organism. Its description in RNAcentral is "partial 16S ribosomal RNA". It matches the Rfam family "Bacterial small subunit ribosomal RNA", at positions 527 to 897 of the family's 1533-position model. The record is from RNAcentral.